Diuraphis noxia (Russian wheat aphid) is the source of this 1047-nucleotide long non-coding RNA. RefSeq lists it as uncharacterized. Lineage: Eukaryota; Metazoa; Arthropoda; Insecta; Hemiptera; Aphididae. The record is from RefSeq and is a predicted model, not a curated record.
GAUCUCAUUUAUCUCGCGGCAGACGCGCGCGCGAAGAAAGAUAAAAACGACGGCGGCGUUGGUGAAGGCGGCGGCGGUGACGGUUACGGCGACGACGACGACGACGACAACKGUGAUGAUGAUGACUCCGCUGUGAGUGCGAGCUCAGUUCAACUACACCUACCCGUCGGCGCACACGUGUUCCGACCAUCGAACGUUCCGGGAUUCAAUAUUAUUUUUCAAGCAAUUUUUUUUCUCAAAAUAUUUUCUCCGCGCCAUCUUAUUCCCGCCAAUACCCACGAGACGCUCAUCACUGCGUAUAAUUUCACAUAAUAUUAAUAUUAUAAUAAUUCUAUACAACAUGUGCAGCAGUAUAGGAAAUAGCGUGUCGUUGUGCUCUAAAAUCGAUCGAACGGAGAGCCGCCGAAGCUGUCAACCUGGAUUAGACGGUUCCAACAGCCGACCUAGACCUAUAACGGCUGUCCAAAACUGAAGAGAUAACGCUUAUCAAAAUCAAAUCGACUUGCUCAUUCAAAACGCGAAUUUCCACUAUACCGGAAUUAAAAUGAAGACCUCGACCGACAUUACCAUCAACAGGCCGAAACCAUUGUUUCCAAAACCUAGUUGCUAAAUAACCAUGAUUUAUUAUAUUAAUAAAUCUAAUGUAUAUUAUUAAAUAUAAGUACUUUUCUUCCCUUGGUAGUUUGAAGUGGAAGUUUCAAGAACAACCCCUACUACGUUUCAGUUAGGCAAACAAACUAACUUUUUGUAUUUUUUUACUCGGUACCUGAAAUAAGUUUGCCUUUCGUACGGGGUUGAUUGAAAUCUUACUUACAUUGUUCUACUAUUACUUUCUUUCGUUACAUUUUGUCUGUAAUUUUUUUUAUAUUUAUUCAAAUCUACUUUUGAUAUAUUAUUAUCAUUUAUGUUCAACAAAAACAAUGUAAUAAUCACCAUCAUCUCUUAAACAUAUCAUAUUGUAAAUCAGCGUCAACCUGUAAGAUAUAUAUUUUAUGUAAACUAUGUUUAAAAAAAAUCACAUUCCAUGUUUAAUUCAGUUAUACAUAA